This 331-nucleotide ribosomal RNA is filed under the name uncultured bacterium. RNAcentral's name for it is "partial 16S ribosomal RNA". It matches the Rfam family "Bacterial small subunit ribosomal RNA", at positions 338 to 660 of the family's 1533-position model. The record is from RNAcentral.
CCUACGGGAGGCAGCAGUGAGGAAUAUUGCGCAAUGGGCGAAAGCCUGACGCAGCAACGCCGCGUGGGUGAUGAAGGUCUUCGGAUUGUAAAACCCUGUCAGGUGGAGCGAAUAUCAACUGGGCUAACAACUCAGUUGUAUGACGGUACCACCAAAGGAAGCCCCGGCUAACUACGUGCCAGCAGCCGCGGUAAUACGUAGGGGGCAAGCGUUGUUCGGAUUUACUGGGCGUAAAGAGCGCGUAGGCGGUUUGAUAAGUCAUGGGUGAAAGCCCUCAGCUCAACUGAGGUUACGCCCAUGAAACUGUCUGACUUGAGUUUAGGAGAGGAGA